RNAcentral lists this ribosomal RNA (511 nucleotides) under uncultured bacterium. RNAcentral describes it as "bacterial SSU rRNA". It matches the Rfam family "Bacterial small subunit ribosomal RNA", at positions 1 to 507 of the family's 1533-position model. The record is from RNAcentral.
AGUAGUUUGAUCAUGGCUCAGAGUGAACGCUGGCGGCAGGCCUAAUACAUGCAAGUCGAACGGCAGCACAGCAGAGCUUGCUCUGUGGGUGGCGAGUGGCGGACGGGUGAGGAAUACGUGGGAAUCUGCCCAGUCGUGGGGGAUAACGUAGGGAAACUUACGCUAAUACCGCAUGCGCCCUUCGGGGGAAAGCCGGGGAACCUUCGGGCCUGGCGCGAUUGGAUGAGCCCACGUCGGAUUAGCUAGUUGGCGGGUAAAGGCCCACCAAGGCGACGAUCCGUAGCUGGUCUGAGAGGAUGAUCAGCCACACUGGAACUGAGACACGGUCCAGACUCCUACGGGAGGCAGCAGUAGGGAAUAUUGGACAAUGGGCGCAAGCCUGAUCCAGCCAUGCCGCGUGAGUGAAGAAGGCCCUCGGGUUGUAAAGCUCUUUUGUCCGGAAAGAAAAGCGCCGGGUUAAUACCCUGGUGUCCUGACGGUACCGGAAGAAUAAGCACCGGCUAACUUCGUG